AGAGUUUGAUCAUGGCUCAGGACGAACGCUGGCGGCGUGCUUAACACAUGCAAGUCGAGGGCGGNNNGAAUCCCUGACCGGCGAACGGGUGCGUAACACGUGAGCGACCUGCCCGCUUGUGGGGGAUAGCCGGCCCAACGGCCGGGUAAUACCGCAUACGCUCUCUGGGGGGCAUACCCUGGGGAGGAAAGCUUCAGUGCAGGCGGAGGGGCUCGCGGCCUAUCAGCUCGUUGGCGGGGUAACGGCCCACCAAGGCGACGACGGGUAGCUGGUCUGAGAGGAUGGCCAGCCACAUUGGGACUGAGAGACGGCCCAGACUCCUACGGGAGGCAGCAGUGGGGAAUCUUGCGCAAUGGCCGCAAGGCUGACGCAGCGACGCCGCGUGGGGGAGGAAGGGCUUCGGCUCGUAAACCCCUGUUGCCCGGGACGAACAUCAGGGUUUGCCCUGACUGACGGUACCGGGUGAGGAAGCACCGGCUAACUCCGUGCCAGCAGCCGCGGUAAUACGGAGGGUGCGAGCGUUGUCCGGAAUCACUGGGCGUAAAGGGCGCGUAGGCGGUUUCUCAAGCGCGUGGUGAAAGCCCGGGGCUCAACCCCGGGUCGGCCAUGCGAACUGGGAGACUCGAGCACUGUAGAGGCGGGUGGAAUUCCGGGUGUAGCGGUGGAAUGCGUAGAGAUCCGGAAGAACACCGGUGGCGAAGGCGGCCCGCUGGGCAGUUGCUGACGCUGAGGCGCGACAGCGUGGGGAGCAAACAGGAUUAGAUACCCUAGUAGUCC
This 777-nucleotide ribosomal RNA is filed under the name uncultured bacterium. RNAcentral describes it as "bacterial SSU rRNA". It matches the Rfam family "Bacterial small subunit ribosomal RNA", at positions 8 to 796 of the family's 1533-position model. The record is from RNAcentral.